Pelobates cultripes (western spadefoot toad) is the source of this 1726-nucleotide non-coding RNA. The record is from the annotation of a GenBank genome assembly. NCBI's taxonomy places the organism in Eukaryota, Metazoa, Chordata, Amphibia, Anura, Pelobatidae.
GUCUGUGGUUUUUAUUGAGGUAAUAAUCAUUACAUACAUGAGAAGAUAUAAAGUCAAAAUGUAUAUAGAUUACAUUUGUUUGGUCAUACUAUUUAAAAAAAAAUAAUGUAAUAAGGCUAGGCGUACAUGUGGUAAACUCAUAAGCUAAGUAGACUAGCUAGACAUGGAGUUUGUAGGUAAAUCUAAUAAUUGAGAGCAAAAGACAUGGUAUAAUUUAGUGGUAGAUUAAAACAGAAAUUUAUAUCUAACACAUGUUAGAUAUAGCGGUGUCUGUGGUUGAAAGUAAAUAUAGGCUAAUAGCAUUAACACAUAGGAAAUUUUGAAACAUCAACUGAUAUGAGCCUUGCUGAGGUACAGUGGCUGCAAUUUUGUGGCACAAGACAAAGCCCAGAGUCUUGAUUAGCCCAUGGUGGCUCUGGGUAAAGCACAUUCCUACUGCAGAUCUAUUAACCAGAGAGUCAGCGGCUCUAGCAGGGAGAUGCACGACCGAGGAUCAGAAUGGUCCCAGUAUCGUAUUAUGGUCAGCAGUAGCAGUGUCUCCAACCACCAGUCCAGCAUCAGGCCCCUUUCCUUGGGAGCAUGGUCAGCAGCUAUGGAGACGGUCAGCAGCUAUGUGAUCACCAAAUGGUUGCCAGUGGAACUAUCCUGAGUCUAAGUUUGUAGCCUCGAAAAAUCUGCACCUCAGCAGAGCUAGGAACCACGGGAACCCCAUGGUCAAUUCUCAUGAAGAGUAGUUAUACGUGCAUUGUUUGCAGGAGGAUGUCAGCAACACUGAAAUGUGGACCAAAAAUCAGUGAAUAGCCGGUCUAGGUUUGUCAGCGUAGGAGACAACUGGUCUCUGGGGCUGAGUGGGUGGCUGGUGUCCGCCAUUAUGCAAAGUGUGCCUCACCUGCAGCCUGCUUGCUAACAUAUUCAGCGACAUGGACAGGGGAGGUUAGUGCCGGGAUAACCCUCACCGGUGGAGUGGGGAAAAAGGACCCAGAUAGGGACUGCAGAUUUCAGAGAGUCCAGUGACAGAGGGAUCAGCCACCUACCCCACUCCACUUCAAGUAGGCUGCAAACUCUUCCAAACUCAGCACUGCUUCAGAACUGAGUAGUCUAGAGCCCACAAGAAUCUUGAGUGUCAACAACCAAUGGUAAGUUGGUAGAUGCAGGAAAUAAAUCGAUAAAACCACAUUUUAUUUCUCGGUUUCUUCCGAAGCUCUGUUAAGAUGCGUCCGAUCAGCCUGACGGUCAAGCCCCUCCACCCAAUAGGUAAUUAUUUCAAAAAGAGAUGGUAAAUUUUUGAAAAUAAUUAUAGAAAAAACAUCCAACGGAACAAACAAUGUCACUCUUCCAGUCAAUGACACUCAUAUGAGCAUUUUAAACCCCUUAAGGACACAACUUCUGGAAUAAAGGGAAUCAUGACGGAAUAUUUCCAUCAUGUGUCCUUAAGGGGUUAAGAUAUUACAUUAUACUUUCCUAUAAACCAGAAGAGAAUUGAAAUGAAUGACCAAGUCUAUGCAAUAUUAUGGUCUGCAAUUUGUAAUUCCAUUGACAAUUCUCAACAAUGUCCCCAACCUAGUGAACAAACCCCUUAAUAAAGUAACUAAAGUAAAUAAAAUAUAUAAACAAAUAAUUGACACAAUUUGAACAGAACUAUCCUCAUCAAAUAAGCAAAAUCAGCUUUAGUUUUCAUAAUGGUCUGCUAAGGUGAGUGAACUAGUUCUUAUUUGCCCCCUUUCCC